This is a long non-coding RNA of Canis lupus familiaris (dog), 1330 nucleotides long. RefSeq lists it as uncharacterized. The record is from RefSeq and is a predicted model, not a curated record. NCBI's taxonomy places the organism in Eukaryota, Metazoa, Chordata, Mammalia, Carnivora, Canidae. The transcript is spliced from 5 exons.
CAUUCUCAGAGCCACCUGGACCCCAGCUAGGGGUCUGACUCUAGGCCCCCACUUAUACAGGAAGGGAAUUGCAUAUUCUUAAUGAACUACCAACCUGCUUCUAGACAGGUUGGGGAACACAAGUCCAGAAGAAAUAGCCAGGAGCAAAAGACACAGAGACCCAGCCAGGCUGGCUUAUGACUCUUGCUUUGGAACAUGAUUUGGUGCCUGUUUGUGAGCACAUUGCCCUAAAGGCUCCUUUGAGGUUAGAAAAGCUAAGUCACCUUUGAUUCAUUGGGAUUGCCUGUACCUAUAUGGUAUCACUGAUCCAGGUCACAUCAGUUUGCAUCCACUUUGUCAUCCUGGACUCCUUCUUUGGAAAAACUGCCGAAAGAUGUUUCUCUCUUCACUGAAGUGAUUAGUGCAAAGGACAGGUAUGGGGAAUCUCAAAAUAGAUAAAUCAAAAAGCCUAGCCUCAGUGAUUUAAGGAGUUCAGUAAACUGACCUAUAAAUAAAGCCAGCUGAAAGAAGUUUGGAACAUAGAACACAGAAAUGUCUAUAUUUCUCUCUAAGGAGUGAAUGAACACGUGUCCCUGAGGAGCCCAGAGGGCAGGAAUCUGCCUCUAGUUUGUGCAGAUUAAAGACCACUUUCUCAUCUAGAGUGAAAGACACUGGACCUUGAAUUGGAAGAACUUGGAAAAAUUAAAAGGCGUGGAGACAUUAUUGUACUGAAUGUGAUUUCAGCUUUGAAUUUUCCAGAAUGUCAUCUCAUAGUAAAGGGAAGCAGAAUAUGAUGCCCCAAAAAUGUGACUGAGGGACUUCAGGACAUGCCACUCUAACAUAUGCUGCUUUGGUACACUGAUUACUUUGAGCUGAAGACAUCUGAAAACAGCAGGUGCAGGAGAGAUUCUGAUCUCCAUCAUCUGCCUUAAGUCAGAUCCUGCAAAAAGACCUCAACUGUCAUCAAUCCCCUCCGGGAGUGCCUUCAUCAGGGAUGAGGGACUCUCGUCACCGAAGACGAGCUUAGAAGUGGGCAUUGCACCCAGACACACUCUGUUCUGAACUUUCAGACCCCCCACCCCUUGCCCCGGCAUCAAGUCUCCUGAGGGCCCAUUUUUCCCUGUGUAUCUCCCAGGUGCACAUGAGACAGAAAUGUUAAUAGACUUAUUUUUGUUCUUUUCUUGUUAAUCUGUCUUUUACUGCAGGAGUCUCAGCUAAGAACUCAGAAGAGUAGAGGGAAAAUUAUUUUUCCUUCCCUACAGCAGGAAUCAUAUAGUAUGUAGCUUUUCAAAUUGGUGUUUUUUACUUAUCAACAUGAAUUUAAGGUUCUUCUAUGUCUUUUCAUGGUUUA